RNAcentral lists this ribosomal RNA (498 nucleotides) under uncultured bacterium. RNAcentral describes it as "partial 16S ribosomal RNA". It matches the Rfam family "Bacterial small subunit ribosomal RNA", at positions 30 to 523 of the family's 1533-position model. The record is from RNAcentral.
AUUGAACGCUGGCGGCAUGCCUUACACAUGCAAGUCGAACGGGCUUUGGGGCUUGCUCCAAAGUUAGUGGCGAACGGGUGAGUAAUAUAUCGGAACGUACCCUAGAGUGGGGGAUAACUAGUCGAAAGACUGGCUAAUACCGCAUACGAUCUAAGGAUGAAAGUGGGGGACCUUCGGGCCUCAUGCUCCUGGAGCGGCCGAUAUCUGAUUAGCUAGUUGGUAGGGUAAAAGCCUACCAAGGCGACGAUCAGUAGCUGGUCUGAGAGGACGAUCAGCCACACUGGGACUGAGACACGGCCCAGACUCCUACGGGAGGCAGCAGUGGGGAAUUUUGGACAAUGGGCGAAAGCCUGAUCCAGCAAUGCCGCGUGAGUGAAGAAGGCCUUCGGGUUGUAAAGCUCUUUUGUCAGGGAAGAAAAGGCGGGGGCUAAUAUCUCCUGUUCAUGACGGUACCUGAAGAAUAAGCACCGGCUAACUACGUGCCAGCAGCCGCCGUAA